UGAAUACAUAUGUAGUAGUUAAGUCUGUGAAUACAUAUGUAGUAGUUUAGUCUGUUGUUAUCAUUUUUUCAUCUUCAUUUAAAUAGAUUUCCAUUUAUGCUGUACUAAAUGUAUUAUAUUAUAUUAUAUAUAUUAUUUCUAUUAGCUAAAUUUUUAUAUUAUUUUUUCACUUGUAUUAUAUUUUUUAAAAAUUCCUCUUGUAUUGAAUUCUAUGGGGUAUGUUUCACAAAGUGCAUCUUAUUUCAUUGUAUGGUAAUUUGAUGCGUUGCAGACUUGUUACCAUGUACUAGUUUAUUGAAGCAAACAAAGUUUUAGACUGCUGAAAUAACCUUGUUUUUUUGGAACUUGAAUCUUCUGUUUAAUUUGUAAAAUCUUUUUUAAUUCAUUUAAAUAGUAUACAGAAAACUAAGUAGACAGCAAUAUGACUUCCAUUUAGAGAUUGUUUAUAUACUAGGUUAUUUCUACAAAAGUAAUCAUUCUUGUUUCAAAGGAAAUUAAUUCUCAAUAAGGGGAGACAAUCACAGCACAAUAUGAAAAUUACUAGGUAAGUAAAUAAAAUCAUUGUGUAACAAUGCAAAUGGUAUCAAAAAUAUUUCCCUAAAUCCUUCUUAUUCCAAGGCAGAUGAAAUAAAUGAUCUUUUUCAAAAUUUAUAGGUUAUUGCUGUGCAAGAUUUACA
This 677-nucleotide long non-coding RNA is filed under the name Mytilus galloprovincialis (Mediterranean mussel). Lineage: Eukaryota; Metazoa; Mollusca; Bivalvia; Mytilida; Mytilidae. The record is from RNAcentral.